GAUGAACGCUAGCGGCAGGCCUAAUACAUGCAAGUCGAACGGUAACAUGGUCAGCAAUGACUGAUGACGAGUGGCGCACGGGUGCGUAACGCGUAUGCAAUCUACCUCUUACUGGGGAAUAGCCCGGAGAAAUCCGGAUUAACACCGCAUAAUAUAUUGUUGAGGCAUCUCAGUGAUAUUAAAUAUUUAUAGGUAAGAGAUGAGCANGCGUCCAAUUAGUUAGUUGGUGAGGUAACGGCUCACCAAGACAAUGAUUGGUAGGGGUUCUGAGAGGAAGGUCCCCCACACUGGUACUGAGAUACGGACCAGACUCC
This 314-nucleotide ribosomal RNA is filed under the name uncultured bacterium. Its description in RNAcentral is "bacterial SSU rRNA". It matches the Rfam family "Bacterial small subunit ribosomal RNA", at positions 28 to 339 of the family's 1533-position model. The record is from RNAcentral.